UGCAAGUCGAGCGGUAACAGGGGGUGCUUGCUCCCCGCUGACGAGCGGCGGACGGGUGAGUAAUGCUUAGGAAUCUGCCCGGUAGUGGGGGACAACCUGCGGAAACGGCUGCUAAUACCGCAUACGCCCUACGGGGGAAAGCAGGGGAUCUUCGGACCUUGCGCUAUUGGAUGAGCCUAAGUCGGAUUAGCUUGUUGGUGGGGUAAAGGCCUACCAAGGCGACGAUCCGUAGCUGGUCUGAGAGGAUGAUCAGCCACAUCGGGACUGAGACACGGCCCGAACUCCUACGGGAGGCAGCAGUGGGGAAUAUUGGACAAUGGGGGCAACCCUGAUCCAGCCAUGCCGCGUGUGUGAAGAAGGCUUUCGGGUUGUAAAGCACUUUCAGCGAGGAGGAAGGCUCUAAAGUUAAUACCUUUAGGGAUUGAACGUUACUCGCAGAAGAAGCACCGGCUAACUCCGUGCCAGCAGCCGCGGUAAUACGGAGGGUGCAAGCGUUAAUCGGAAUUACUGGGCGUAAAGCGCGCGUAGGUGGUUAGGUAAGCGAGAUGUGAAAGCCCCGGGCUUAACCUGGGAACGGCAUUUCGAACUGUCUGACUAGAGUGUGGUAGAGGGUAGUGGAAUUUCCUGUGUAGCGGUGAAAUGCGUAGAUAUAGGAAGGAACACCAGUGGCGAAGGCGGCUACCUGGACCAACACUGACACUGAGGUGCGAAAGCGUGGGGAGCAAACAGGAUUAGAUACCCYGGUAGUCCACGCCGUAAACGAUGUCAACUAGCCGUUGGGACUCUUGAAGUCUUAGUGGCGCAGCUAACGCACUAAGUUGACCGCCUGGGGAGUACGGCCGCAAGGUUAAAACUCAAAUGAAUUGACGGGGGCCCGCACAAGCGGUGGAGCAUGUGGUUUAAUUCGACGCAACGCGAAGGACCUUACCUAGCCUUGACAUCCAGAGAACUUUCCAGAGAUGGAUUGGUGCCUUCGGGAACUCUGAGACAGGUGCUGCAUGGCCGUCGUCAGCUCGUGUCGUGAGAUGUUGGGUUAAGUCCCGUAACGAGCGCAACCCCUGAUCCCUUGUUGCUAGCAAGUAAUGUUUAGAACUCCAGGGAGACUGCCGGUGACAAACCGGAGGAAGGUGGGGAUGACGUCAGGUCAUCAUGGCCCCUACGGCCAGGGGUACACACGUGCUACAAUGGUACGUACAGAGGGCUGCCAACUCGCGAGAGUGAGCCAAUCCCUUAAAACGUAUCGUAGUCCGGAUCGGAGUCUGCAACUCGACUCCGUGAAGUCUGAAUCGCUAGUAAUCGCGAAUCAGAAUGUCGCGGUGAAUACGUUCCCGGGCCUUGUACACACCGCCCGUCACACCAUGGGAGUGGAUUGCACCAGAAGUAGUUAGUCUAACCUUCGGGAGGACGAUUACCACGGUGUGGUUCAUGACUGGGGUGAA
This 1439-nucleotide ribosomal RNA is filed under the name Marinobacter sp. 10050. RNAcentral's name for it is "bacterial SSU rRNA". It matches the Rfam family "Bacterial small subunit ribosomal RNA". Lineage: Bacteria; Pseudomonadati; Pseudomonadota; Gammaproteobacteria; Pseudomonadales; Marinobacteraceae. The record is from RNAcentral.